AAGCUUAAAUAUGAAAAAUCUAUCAAAUAUGCCAAAAAAAAAAAACGUCACUUUUCAGAUGGUUUUCGUCAAAAAUGAAAGUGGCCGCAUCCGUGUUCAUCCUCAACCUUUAUAUAUGUUAUGUAUUAUCAUCAAAUACAACUUACAUUUCAAUAUUAUGAAUGAACACGAAUGCGGCCAAUUUCAUUUAAGACGGAAACCGUCUAAAAUUUAACUAAAAUGCU
RNAcentral lists this long non-coding RNA (224 nucleotides) under Mytilus galloprovincialis (Mediterranean mussel). The record is from RNAcentral. Lineage: Eukaryota; Metazoa; Mollusca; Bivalvia; Mytilida; Mytilidae.